RNAcentral lists this ribosomal RNA (253 nucleotides) under uncultured bacterium. RNAcentral describes it as "partial 16S ribosomal RNA". It matches the Rfam family "Bacterial small subunit ribosomal RNA", at positions 524 to 776 of the family's 1533-position model. The record is from RNAcentral.
UAAGGAGGGGACAAACGUUGAUCGGAAUUAUUGGGCGUAAAGCGCGUGGAGGCGGCUAUUUCAGUCUGGGGUGAAAGGCCGGGGGCUAACCCCGGAAGUGCACUGGAUACUGGAUGGCUAGAGGACGGGAGAGGAGAGUGGAAUUCCUGGUGUAGGGGUGAAAUCCGUAGAUAUCAGGAGGAACAUCGGAAGCGAAGGCGGCUCUCUGGCCCGUAUCUGACGCUCCGACGCGAAAGCGUGGGUAGCAAACAGG